CAAUAUUAGAGUAUAAAAUAUAAUACGAGUUUAGUUAUCUUUUUUUAUAAAUUUAUUUUUUUAAAUACAGAUUUACAAAAUAUUUUAUGUUGUAUAAUAUCUAGUAUCAUAUCAGUGUUCACAUUAGGCAGUCGUCACUCAUCUUCACGAAUGCUAUAGUUGUAUUUAUUCUCACGGUAGACGCGAACUGCAAACCUCACAGCUGUAACAGUGGUCGACAAAUACAAAAAUCGACCAAUAUUAAAUUAUAUUUAUGUAAAAGUGUUCACCAAGAAUUGUCCUGUGUAGUACGUUUGCACAUAUUUCAAAGUACUCAAACUUACCAGACGGAAUUGCUGUGGCUGCGAAUGUCUCGUGCAUAUUACGGCGUUUUACGAUCAAGCAUAAAGUCACCGCAACCGUGACGAGAAUAGUAAAUAUAAAUAUGGACCACCAAUCAAACAACAAUAAUAUUCGUGUCAAUAAAUACGGAGGUAUUCAUAUCACGCUUUUAGAUCUCGAUAACCAAUAUUGGAAACUCAGAAAAUACGUAUUAAAUUUCCGCUUAUAUAAAAUAUUGUGAAAUAUG
Molecule: long non-coding RNA, 568 nt
Organism: Aphis gossypii (cotton aphid)
Lineage: Eukaryota; Metazoa; Arthropoda; Insecta; Hemiptera; Aphididae
Exons: 3
Source: RefSeq, a predicted model, not a curated record